This is a long non-coding RNA of Capsicum annuum, 439 nucleotides long. RefSeq lists it as uncharacterized. The record is from RefSeq and is a predicted model, not a curated record. The transcript is spliced from 2 exons. Lineage: Eukaryota; Viridiplantae; Streptophyta; Magnoliopsida; Solanales; Solanaceae.
GAUAUUCUCUUCCGUUAGUAAAACAGGAUGAAAAUAUAAAAGGAAAAAAAUUUUCUUCUCUGUUUCGUCUUCCAUAAUAACAUCUACAAGAAAAAGACAUUCAGCUUGUGGUCAAAAUUUUAUUUUCAAUUGGGGGCAUAUCCGUUUUGAUGGUGAGGUCAAUAAUGCUGCUGCAGAGAAAGACAUGGCUAAAUAGGGACAAACUCUAAUUACUUCAAGUGAGAGUUCUGCAUAUCGAGCAAAGAGACAAAAUGAAAGAACACAUCGAAGGACAUAUUUUCAUAAUUGUGAGAUCAUAUGAAAUGAUGUUCCAAAGGUGACAAAAAAUCUGUUACGAACAACAUUUUAUUUUGUAAAUUAGCUAUUUGUUGGUGAAAAUAUGAAAGAAAAAAAAAAUGAUUCCAUGUUACCACAUGAAUAAACAACAUGAUUAUAUUCA